Molecule: long non-coding RNA, 44250 nt
Filed under: Triticum aestivum (bread wheat)
Lineage: Eukaryota; Viridiplantae; Streptophyta; Magnoliopsida; Poales; Poaceae
Description: long non-coding RNA (TAES_LNC027378)
Source: RNAcentral
UCUCAGUGGAUCGGUUCGGGUUAUUUUCGCACCCGCUUUGUUUUUUCAGGGUCGCGUGGAGGAUCUGGUCUCUCCUCAUCCAUGGCGACGACGGCGAGCUUGAGGCGACGGCCGCGAGGUCCUGGCGACGGCGGCGCAGGUAAACCUUCAGAUAGUAUCUUCACUAGCAUAUCUCCUCCCUUUCUUCUGUCCAUUUGUUGCCCCUCUCCUCCAGUCCAGCAUGCCCUUCCCUACCAUGGCGCCUUCUCUCUCUCCCUCCCUCCCUCUCAUGGUGCCCCUCUCUCCUUUCCCAUGGCACCCCUCCCCCUCCCUUCUUCAUGUGGCGCCUCAUUACUCUCUAUUCUUGUGUCUAUGAGUCUGUCCUCUCUCUUCUUGAACCCUAAAACACAAGCAGAUCUCAAAUCCUAAUUCUCUGUGUUUUUGUAUAGGUUAAUUCGGGUUCAGUUUUGCAAAUCUGCAACAAUCAAGUCCUAAUCCCUUUCCGCUGUUUCAGGUUGAUUGGAAUUCAGUUUUCAAGUCUCUGUAGCGGUCAAUUAAAAAGAAGGUAACAGCAAUGCUUUUGUGAUGUGACACUUUGUGAUGAUUUUGUUGUGUCAAGAUGGAACUAAAAUGCUACCAUAUGCUCAAUUUUAUUUAAUGUGAAAGUCGUGCUAGCUUGUAAAGAUAGUAUACUACAUAUACUAGUUACUAGGUGUUUGUUUUGAUUCAUGGUGUCCAUGAAUGCUGUAUUCUUGUGUUACAUUCUGCACAUAUGAAAAACUGCAGCAAUUUGGUACAAGCAGUACCCUGAAUCACAUAGUCUGAGGUGUUCCAUCUUAUUUUAUUGUCUCUAUAUCUUUCUCUCUCUUUUUUGUCGCGUAAGUCCCUGUUUCUCGGUCAUUAAGCUUGUACAGGGAGUAUGCAUAUAAGUUUUUGUUGCUUCCCUUGACCAUUAUUUUUCUUCAAAAGUCAGAAGGUUUCAUUGCAACUUUAUAUAGCUUAAGUUGUAGUCUAUGCAACCCCAUCUUUUUCUUUUCGUCUCUAGUGUUUUGUUAAACAUAUACAUCCCCCCCCAACCAAUUCAUACGGGGAUUUUUUUUCUACAAAUGUAUUGAUACUUAUGCAAAAGUUGUAGUUCCUUUUUUUCUAUGAGUAGUCUCAACCAGAUUGCUUGAGGUGGCCAAGUUUCCCCUUGGUUCCAAAUCAGUUGAGCUCUGGCCCAUUCUCAUAUGCUAAUCUUUUCUAGGAAGAUCGCUAGUGUUGCACGAGCACGGAAUCGUAGAUGUCAUUAUACACUAUUGUAAGGUGUUGGCCAGCUGGCUAGAGACGUGUGUGGUCAUGACCUAGUGGUUUUUGUUCAUUUUCUUCACUAUAGUGUCUUUUGUCCAUUUCUUCCUAAGUCUCCUAUUUUGGUCUCUUAUAUUGUUAUCUAGCAUUUUCUCUAUAUAUUAAUUCUAAGAUGAACAACUGACUUCUUACUAUUCUUCUUGCAAAUCAGUUUGUAGUGUCCUACUUAAGUGUCUACCUUUUAAAAUUCAAGCUCAAAACUUAAAAUUGGCUAUCCUUUUGGUAACUAUUCACUCUUUUUUCUUUAGUUUUCAUUUUUUGUAUAUAAAUAGGAGUGUCCUACUUAAGUGGCUCCAGAUAGGCAUGGUUGUUACCGAAUCCUCAUUCUCAUCCUUCUUCAGUCUCGCCCCCUCUAUUUUUUCAAUCUGGACUUUGUUUGUCAUUCUGUAGGCUUGCUAUUUCAUUUUUUUUUCAUUUAUCUGUUUACUUGUCAUUCUUCAUUUAUCUGCGUUGUUCUUCUCCAUCUUGUCAUUUAUACAGGAUGGAAAGUCUUCACUUAAUUUUCCUUGCCAUUCAUCAUUUCCACUUCUUCAUUUUUUGCAGUAUUCUGUCUCUUUUUUUGGUCUCAGUUAGCAUAGCUUUUUCAGCUAAAAAUGAUAGUAGAUUAGUCUCUCAUUUGUCCCACUUAUUUUAGUACUCUUCAGUCUCCAUGUCGUCUUUUCUUAUUUAUCAGUCCUUAGUUAUCUUCAUUCCUUAGUCUUCUUGGUAUUCUUCUCAGUCUUAUUAUUCUUAGUUAUUUUUAUGAGUUCUUCUUUCUAUCAGUCCUCUAUUUCCAUCAGUUAUCUGCUUCGGAUUUAGUAAUCAAGUUCUUCAAGUCAUAUUCAGUGUGCUUUCCUCAGUAUGAUUUUUUCUUUCUAUCAGUCAUCUGUUUCAGAUUCAGUACUCAAGGUCUUCAAGUCAUAUUCACUUAUUUAGUGUGUAUUCUUGAGUACGAUUUCAGUGUAGUGUUGCUUGUUGUUAUGAUUUCUUUUCGGAUUCAGUAAUCAAGUUAGGUUUGUUAUACUAUGCUACUCAGGUGUCAGUCUUCAGUGUUAGGUUUUGUAGGUUUAUCAGUCUUGGGACCUCUCCUGUUGCACACCACCUACCAGUACCCCACCAUAUCAGUAUCUUAAGUGUCAGUUUUUCUAAUGUUACGCAUCUAUCAGUUUAGUGUCCGAACCCAUAGGUUCUUAAUUCAUUCUGCGGUGUGUAUCACUUUUCUACCGAUGUGAUUUUUUUUAAAACCUCACUCUGUGGGCCGCUCUUUUUUGACAGAUGCCAUGCUCAUUCUCACUACUGCUACGAAGACUCUAACAAAGAUGUCUCGAAUCAGUCCCUCUUUGCAUCUCUAUCAAAUAACAUGAAAACAUCACAUUCAUUUUUUGUUCAUAUUCUUAAGUGUUCAUUUUUCAUUAUUUUUGUUCGUCGGUCUGUAAGCUUGCCUUCUUAGUCUUAUAUUAGUUUAUCUUAAUAGUAUCAGUCUUCAUUUUAUCAUAUUUAAUUAUCAUUUGCAUCUUUCUUCAGUCCUAUCUCUCAUGGGUCUUGUCUUUUAGUAGAUGAUUAUUUCUGUUGUGAAUCUUAUGUUCCUGUAAGUGCUAAAUUUUUUCAGUUUCUGCACUGGUUUUUUGUUAGAUUAUUUUCAAUUUUUAGUCGUCAGUAUACCUAAGUAUCAGUCUCAGUUCUCUUCAGCUUUAUGUUAAGUGGUUAUUAUUUCGCCAGUGUUUGUUCAGUAUCUUAAGUGUCUCAUUGCAGUUCUCUUUAGUUAUUUGGUCAGUGUUUGUUCUUGUCUAUCAGUUUUAUGUUCAGUCAUUUAUUAGUGUACUUUCCAUUCAACUUAUUAUUUUCAAUUUAUUUUGUUGUUCUUGUAUUUUCAGCAUUCAUUUUGAAAUGGUUAGACUUGAUAUGUGUUUAUAAUUCCUGUAGCUUAAAUUAGUUAUCUGGUGAGUUUCUAUUCUUAAUUUUUCAGUCAUCUUUUUGCUAACAAAUAUAUUUUUUUCUGCCACAUGUGUAACAGUAAUAGGGAUGGUGUGCCCAAUCUGCAAGUCCGACUGAGCUAGCCAUCACUCAUCGGGUUUAAAUUUUGGUGUUUGAUUGUCUGAAGACAUUGAAAGCUCAGUGGUAACAUAAUUUUGAAUAUGCUUAAUUUAUCAGUAUAGUCUAGUUCCCUGUCAUGGUCAGUUAUUAAUUUAUCACUACAGUCUACUUCUCUGUUAUGGUCAAUUUUUCAUUCAUCACGCAUUUAUAGGAGGCUAUGAUGUGGAUAUUACCAUACCUCCCUGUAUGUUUUGUGAUAGCAUAAUAGUUGUCCUGUUCAGUUAAACAUUUCAUUUCUUCUUUAGUUCGUGUAUGAUUUCAUUUUUUUCUUUUCAGAUAUAAACUUAGUCCUUUUAGCUGAUAGAAUUAUAGCAACUUUAGCUUUUUCUUAGAUUUCUUUUUUCUAAUUUUCGGUCAUUACUUUUGUUGCAUUCAUUUUCCUUUUUAGUCUAUAAAUUUUUAGAGUUUAGCUAUUUGUCAGUCUCAUCUGCAAACGUCUCAUGCCCCAACAAGCAUGAGGAUAGCCUAUCUUUUGUUCUUCCUUCUCCAUUUUUUUUGCUUUUUCCUGCAGUUUAUCCCAUGCCACUGAACGGUCGAAUUCAAUUGCGCCACUGGCGGCAUGCUUUUUAAGGAAUUUGAGGGGCGCAAAUUCAUCACCGAGAUCAGGAAAGAACACAGGAGGAUCUGUGCCGGAGUAAAUAGCCAUGGGUAGCCUAGCCGGCUUCCCCUGGCCCUUCUGAAAAAGUUACGAGCCUGCCCGGCUCUCAAGAAUCCAAGACGUGGGGCCGCCUUCCCCUUGCUGGCUGCCACCCAGGCCGGCUUUCGGAAGGCGGUCCGACUUUAGCCCUCAUGAGAAGGCCGACUCCAAGAAGCCGGCCAUGAGAAGGCCGACUCCAAGAAGCCGGCUCCCCAUAAAGCGGUCCAGACCGUACCCACAAAAGUUUGCACCCACCUAACGGCGAUGCGACGGGGCGUGGCUACAAAAAAGCCUGCCACCCCCGAAUCCCGGAGCACGCCUGGCACAGUGCGCCGUACGGGGUAGGCAUGACCUGUCCGGCGCGGCACUGUCGCCAUGUUGACCCUGGCAUCACCCGCGACGGGCCGCCAGCGUGGCCCACAGACGGUGGGCCCCUUCGAGCAGAGAGACGCCCGAAGGCGGCCACGCCUCCAACCAGUCGGCCCAAGACAGAGUCGGCUCCCCGCAGCCGGCUUGCCGCCUCCCUCGAAGAAGACGCCCCAUUAAGGAGACAAGACGCGGUAAGGCUACAGCGAUCGCCUGACAGGCGGCGGUACUGUAGCCGCGCUUGCCACGAUGAAGCUCACGUCAACAAGAUGGAGCCACAGUAACCAGCCGCCGACCAGGCCCUGGAUAGUGGGGCCUGCCUGUCGACCAAGGGGCCGGCAGCCGGCGGGACCCACCAGUCGGCGGGCCCCAGUAGCCGGCGCAAAAGCCGGCGAGCGCAGUCACAGACGGCUGGGCCCCGCGCCCAGUCGGAUUACCAUUGUACCCCUGGGGGGUAGGCCUAUAUUAACCCCCCGGAGCACCCAUGCAAAGGGUUCGACCCCUUGCUAGUUCUAGACACCACACAAGGAGAAGAAGCAGGCUAGCCGUGCCCUUCUUCCUCCUCCCCCCAAACAGCUCAAGGAGCGUUGUGUAGCUGCUUGAUUCAUCUAGUGAACAUGCGAAGACCCCGCAGAGCAGCAGUAGGGGUGUUAUCUCCACGGAGAGCCCCGAAGCUGGGUAAGAUCCGCCGGCGUGCAUGUCUUCGCCUUAUCCCAUUUCCAGGCACCGGCGAUGUCUUACUGGCUCCCACAAUGAUAAGCCACCCGUUGGCAUAUGUCGCACCUACCACCCGACAUUUGGCGCCCACCGUGGGGCUAGGUGCACCGUCGUCCGGAGACUUGUUCUGGAGGGGAACCUUAUUCCUCCCCCGCGAGCGUAGCCAGCCCGGCUCGCCCGGUGGCGCUUGCCACGACGCGCUGCAAGGCGUCACCAGCAUCUGCGCGGCAAGCGGCCUCGCCGAUCUCCUCGACGAAACUCUCAUCUCCAACGAGCUCGCCUCCGAUGCGGGCAACGACCACCUCACCAACCUUCUCGGCCAGCUCCAUGUCUCCAGCGAGCCCGCUGUGGACCUGGAGUCGGUUGGCUCCACCGACCCGAUGCAUGUCGACUCCGACACGGCCUCCUACGACACCUUCCCCACCAACGUCACGAUCUACAACAACCCGCUUCCUCGAGCCGACGGCUGCGAUGCUGUCACCACCAAAGUGAUGGUUGUCGGCCACGGCGGCCCGGCCGACGAGAGCGCCCGCGACGCCUCGCACACGGCGGCCCACGACUUGUCCGCUCCCCUCCCGGCUAAUGCCGACGACGAAGCACUGGAGGCACGCCACCUCGCCCUCCUCGCAGAGGGCCGGAGGCUGGCCUCCGUAAGACGCCUCACUGAGGCCUAUCAGCGCGGAGCUGACAGCGCCGCCUUCGGCACGCCGGCCCCGGGCGGGCCAAGCCGGGCCGGCCUUGUCAAGCAACGUGGCGCCGUCAUCGCCGACACGCUGGGAAUCGACCGCCCGGUCUAUGCUACGCCGCUCGAGAACUUGCGUGCCGCCCAGGCGGCUGUAGACGAGUUGGACGGCUUGGAGGCCGAAGACCUCCCCCACGUGACCCGGCGCAUCCAGCAAUUGAUUGACGCAGCCGCGCAGCGACACGAAGCCGACGCCCGCGCGGAAAGCCCUCCCCCGCGCCGAGAACACGGCGCGACGUCCCGGACGCCGACUACGAGCAACACCCGUGCGCGACGCGAGAAGGAGCCGACUGCCAGCCACAGCCGGACCCGGAUCUCCAUCGAGCGAGACGCGGACGGUCAUCCCCGAGCCAUGGAAUGGCGUGGCGACCCGCCUCCGCCUCCGCCCCAUGGAGAGAGAUAUCCCGCCCCGCCGCCAGUGGCGCACCCGACUCUCAGCGGCCGGCUGGGCCGCCGCGAAGGAAUCGGCGAGAACGACGCCCGCCAUCGGAUCGACCGCCUGGCGCGAUCCCUGGCGUUGGAAGAAGAAGACGAUGUCGUCCCGCCUUGUUUCGGCCCCCGCAUCCGCGACGAGGCCUUUCCCAAAGGGUUCUCGCUCCCAAGAGACACGCCCAAGUACAACGGCUCUGUGAAGCCGGAAGAUUGGUUGAUCGACUACUCCACGGCGGUUAGCAUAGCCAACGGCAACCGGCGCGUUGCCGUGAAGUACGUGCCCCUCAUGCUGCAAGGCACGGCGCGGACCUGGCUCAACAGCCUCAAGCCGCGUAGCAUCAACAGCUGGCUAGAUUUCACAGAAGCCUUCAUCCGCAACUUCACCAGCACCUACAAGCGGGCUCCCAAGCCCAGACAGCUCUCCUUGUGCGUACAAGGCCCCGCCGAGUCCACUCGCGAUUACCUCACACGUUGGGCCGAGCUCCGCAACUCCUGUGAAGGGGUGCACAAGGUGCAAGCCAUUGAGUACUUCACGGCCGGAUGCCGAGAAGGCACCCUCCUCAAGCACAAGCUCCUCUGCGACAAGCCGACUACCCUCGACGAGCUUCUGGACAUAGCGGACAAGUACGCCACCGCCGACUCCUCGAUGAAGACCGAGCUUCGGGUGGACGCAUCCGGAAAGGUACUCAACCCGGCGCCCAAGACGCCGGCUGGAGAUUCCGGCCGACUCCCCCACUCGAAUGAUCACAAGCGCAAGGGCCCCGAGCCGCCUCCCGCCAGUCGGCAGGUGGCCACAGUCGAAGAUGCGCCGCCUGAAGAGCAACUGGCACCCAAGAAGCCCAAGGGCGGCAGGCCGGCUUGGCAGCCCGCCUUCUCCUACGAGCAAACUCUCGACGCCCCUUGCAAGUUCCACAGCGGCGCGAAGCCGUCCAACCACACGACCCGGAAGUGCCAUUGGCUCACCCGAAUCUCUAAAGGCGAAGGGCUCGCGCCGCCUCCGCCUGCCGGCCCGCCGCCUCCGCCUCCGCCGCCUCCGGCCGCUCGGCCCGCAGUCGGAGCCGUGCAUGACGAGUUCCCUGACGAGCAAGCAACCUACAUCGUUUUUACAAGCCAGCCCGAAGACCGGCGCAGCAAACACCAAGAGCGCCAGGAAGUUAGCGUGGUCGCUGGCAACCCCGCCGGACACAUGCAUUGGUCAGAAAAGCCCAUCAGCUGGAGCCGGGCCGACCAUCCGGAGGUGAUGCCGUCUCCCGGCUCUUACGCUUUGGUCCUGGAAGCCACCCUUGUGACGGACAGACGCGCCGCCCGCUUUUCCCGUGUGUUGAUAGACGGCGGGAGCAGCAUCAACAUUCUGUACCGUGACACCCUGGAAAAGCUAAAUGUCAAGACGAAGCAGCUCACGCCAACUCGGACAGUGUUUCAUGGCAUCGUACCGGGCUUAUCCUGCGCCCCCAUUGGCAAGAUCAAGAUCGAUGUGCUUUUUGGGGACAAGGAGCAUUUCCGCCGGGAAGCGAUCUGGUUUGAAGUGGUGGACCUGGAGAGCCCUUACCAUGCAUUGCUGGGCCGACCUGCCUUGGCCAAAUUCAUGGCAGUUCCCCACUAUGCAUACCUCAAGAUGAAGAUACCAAGAACCAAAGGCGUCAUCACCGUAGCCGGUGAUUACAAGAAGUCCUCUGAGUGCGCGGCGGCCAGCAGCCGGCUGGCCGAGUCCCUUGUGAUUGCCGAAGAGAAGAAGAUGUUGGACCGAGUCGUGGCCAUAGCCGGCAAGCCGUCGGCCGUGUCCUCCGACCCCAAGGAGCAUGAUACUCAAGGAUCUUUCCAGUCGGCCAAGGAGACAAAGAAGAUACCUCUUGACCCCGAGCAUCCAGAGAGGUUUGCCGUCAUCGGGGCAAACCUGAACAGCAAAUAGGAAGGCGAGCUUGCCGAUUUCCUCCGUGAGAAUCGGGACAUCUUUGCAUGGUCCCCCAAGGACAUGCCGGGUGUUCCGAGGAAAUUCGCCGAUCACAAACUACACGUUCGAGAAGACGCAAAGCCAGUCAGACAACCCCUUCGCCGACUGUCGGAGGAGAAACGCAGGAUUGUAGGGGAGGAGAUAGCCCGGCUCUUGGCGGCCGGCUUCAUCAUGGAAGUUUUCUUUCCAGAGUGGCUCGGCAACCCGGUCCUUGUGCUAAAGAAGAACAACAAGCGGCGCAUGUGUAUAGACUACACGAGCCUCAACAAGGCCUGCCCCAAAUAUCCUUUUGCCCUGCCAAGGAUUGACCAAGUGAUAGACUCCACAGCCGGAUGCGAGCUGUUGAGUUUUUGGAUGCUUACUCCGGAUAUCAUCAGAUAAAGCUAGACCCGGACGACCGCCUGAAGACCGCCUUCAUCACGCCAUUUGGAGCCUUCUGCUACCUGACCAUGACAUUCGGCUUGAGAAAUGCCGGUGCCACUUUUCAGCGUUGCAUGCAGAAGUGCCUCCUCAAGCAACUCGGCAGAAACGCUCACGUUUACGUGGACGACAUCGUGGUGAAGACGGAGAAGCGCGGCACCUUGCUGGGAGACCUCAAGGAAACGUUUGAGAACUUACGCCGGUUCCAAAUCAAGCUCAACCCCGAGAAAUGCGUGUUCGGAGUGCCGGUCGGCCAGCUCCUAGGCUCCCUGGUCUCCGAACGCGGCAUCGAAUGCAACCCGAUGAAGAUCAAGGCCAUCGAGAGAAUGGCGAUCCCCACCAAGCUUCGAGACAUUCAGAAGUUCACCGGGUGCUUAGCCUCCUUGAACCGCUUCAUCAGCCGGCUCAGAGAGAAAGCUCUCCCCCUCUACCGCCUCAUGAAGAAGAGCACUCACUUCGAGUGGAACGACCAGGCCGGCCAAGCUUUUCACGAGUUGAAGAAGAUGCUGGCCACGCCGCCUGUCCUCGCGGCGCCGACUGAGAAAGAGCCCAUGCUCCUCUACAUCGCCGCAACCAGCCGGGUGGUCAGCACCGUCAUCAUAGUCCAGCGCCCAGAAGAAGGCCGGGCCCAGCCGGUCCAGAGGCCGGUGUAUUAUUUGAGCGAGGUGCUGUCCGCCUUAAAGCAGAACUACCCGCACUACCAGAAGAUGUGUUACAGCGUGUACUUCACCGCCAAGAAGCUGAAGCCCUACUUUCAAGAGCAUCCCGUCACGGUCGUAUGCACUGCCCCGCUAGCCGAGAUCAUAGGCAGCUGGGAUGCAUCCGGCCGGGUGGCAAAAUGGGCCAUCGAGCUGGCCCCCUACACGAUCUUCUACCGACUCCGCACUGCCAUCAAGUCCCAAGCACUGGCCGACUUCCUCGUCGACUGGGCCGAGACCCAGUACCUGUCGCCGGCUCCCGACUCCACCCAUUGGCGCAUGCACUUCGACGGGUCCAAGAUGCGCACCGGCUUGGGAGCCGGCGUCGUCCUUACCUCUCCCGAAGGCGACAAGCUCAGAUACACGCUACAGAUCCACUUUGCCGCCUCCAACAACGUGGCCGAGUACGAGGCGCUCAUACACGGGCUCCGGCUUGCCAAAGAACUUGGCAUUCGCCGGAUCCUAUGUUAUGGCCACUCGGACCUGGUGGUCCAGCAAUCAUCCGGCGACUAGGACGCCAAGGACGCGAAUAUGGCGAGCUACCACUUCCUGGUCCAACAACUCAGCGGAUACUUUGAAGGAUGCGAGUUCCUCCACGUACCACGAGCCGACAACGAGCCAGCCGAUGCCCUGGCUCGAAUAGGCUCCACUCGGCAAGCAAUUCCAAUCGGCGUCGCUCUACAACGCCUCCUCAAGCCGUCCAUCAAGCCGUCUCCAGAGUCCGAUUCCAUCUUCGUGCCGCCUGACCCCGAUGCGGCCGGGUCCGACUCAAAGAACCAAGUAGGCGACCCCAAGACCCCCGUAGCCGGCCCGGCGACUUCAGCAGCCGGCUCGGGGACUUCGGCGGCCAGCUCGGGGACUUCGGCAGCCGGCUCGGGGACUUCGGCGGCCGGCUCGGGGACUGCGGUAGCCGGCCCGGGGAUUGCACCAGCACUACAGCUGGCGGCCGACUCCAGCACCUCAUCGCCCAGCCCGCCCACCCUGGUAGCAGUAGCCACAUUGGCAGUAGGAGAAGUCGCGGCUCCGUCAUGGGCUCAGUCCAUCCUCAACUUCCUAGUAAACCAAGACCUGCCGGCUGACGAAACAGAAGCAAGACAAGUCCAGCGUCGAGCCGGAGCGUACACAAUCGUCAACAGAGAACUACUCAAGCGCAGUGUCACUGGAAUCCUCCAACGGUGCGUCGAGCAAGAGAAGGGCAUUGCAAUCCUCAGAGAUAUUCACCAAGGAGAAUGCGGCCACCAUGCGGCCUCAAGAUCACUUGUCGCCAAAGCUUUCCGCCAUGGUUUCUUCUGGCCGACCGCUUUGGAUGACGCCAAAGAAUUAGUCAAACAUUGCAAGGGAUGCCAACUCUUCAGCUCCAAGCAACACGUGACGGCUUCGGCACUCAAGACCGUUCCCCUCACUUGGCCCUUCGCCGUUUGGGGACUGGACAUGGUAGGCCCAUUCAAGACGGCGCGCGGCGGCAUGACACAUUUGCUAGUCGCCGUGGACAAAUUCACCAUGUAGAUUGAGGCAAAGCCGAUCAAGAAGCUGAAUGGGCCGACUGUCGUGACGUUCAUCGCAGACAUAACAACUCGGUACGGCGUGCCGCACAGCAUCAUCACCGACAAUGGGACGAAUUUUGCCAAAGGAGCCUUGGCACGCUUCUGCGCAGCCCAAGGUAUCCGGCUGGACUUAGCAUCCGUCGCCCACCCGCAGUCAAACGGCCAGGUCGAGCGAGCCAACGGCCUCAUCCUCUCCGGUAUCAAGCCUCGACUGGUUGUACCUCUGGAGCGCUCAGCCGGCUGUUGGCUCGAUGAGCUGACGGCUGCCCUCUGGAGCCUGCGCACUACACCAAACAAGUCAACUGGCUUCACCCCUUUCUUCCUUGUGUAUGGUGCCGAGGCGGUCAUCCCAACUGACAUCGAAUUCGACUCGCCUCGAGUAACCAUGUACACGGAAGCGGAGGCCAAGGAAGCACGAGAAGACGACGUCGACCUGCUGGAAGAAAGCCGGCUGUUAGCCCUCAGCCGAUCUGCCAUCUACCAGCAGGGUUUGCGCCGCUACCACAGCCGGAAGGUCAGGCCAAGAUCCUUCCAAGAGGGUGAUCUUGUGCUCCGGUUGAUCCAGCGAACAGCCGGCCAGCACAAGCUCUCAGCCCCUUGGGAAGGUCCCUUCAUCAUCAGUAGAGCUCUAGGCAACGACUCCUACUACCUGAUCGACGCACAGAAGCCGAAGGCGCGCAAGAGAGACGACUCCGGCAAGGAGUCGGAACGACCAUGGAACGCCAACCUCCUCCGAAGAUUUUACAGUUGAAAUGCAGUAUGUACCGUGCUAACUUUUGUAUUAAGUACAAGACAAUAGGCUCCCCGACGAGGGCUCGGGGACUGUCAUCCCUUAUUUAUGAAUGAAAAGUAUCAUGCUUAUGACCUUGUCGUGUCAUUUACUUAUUCCGUCCAGCACCGAGUUCGACUAGUCGGCUCGGGGACUGGCCAACUGGAGUUAUGUUAGAAGUCCUACCCGCAGUCAGACAAGUAGUGUGCCGGCUCCCAAGCCUUUUCUUGCCAAAAGUCGCAGUUUGAAGAACCGGCUGUCCGGCUGGCAAGAGUUAAAGGCAGGAACGGGCGCCCACACGAAAAACGGCUAGGGACUAACGGACUAAUAUAACAAAAGCCGGUUUUUCUCACACCGCCGACUAGCUACCAGAGUAGCCGGCCGGCCGGUUUCCAUUCACUUCACUUCAAUCUAAGAAAGCUCAAGUACUUGCCUCCCCAAAGAGGGAAGGCGGCAAAGGAAAAAGCCUAAGGAUAAAAAAGCAUAUGCGAAUGGAAACCAAACAUGCACAUGAUAAUAUUUACAUAAAAAAGACCUCCGAGAGGCCAGCAUUCAACAUAGUUUGGAUACACCCCCAGUGGGUGGAACUGCAAAAACUUAACAAAGAUUGUUCAAAGACAACAAGGCAGGAAAGAUAAAGACGGCAGGUCAAGCUGGCGGAGCGGCCGACGAGCCAGACUGGUUGGUGGAGAUGGUCGUGCCGGCUGAAGGAGCGGCCGGCUGGCGAACUUCGACUUUGUCGCCGCCUCCCGCAGAGGGCGCGCUUCCACGCGCCUCGUUGCUGGAGGCACGGUCGGCCUGAGGUCGGCCGGUUGUUCCACCAGCCGGCUCGACGUCUUCGCCGUCCUCCUCUUCGUCAUCCUCGCCUUCGUCGCUGGAGGCAAUCUCCUCCGCCGAGUCCUCGCCCACCGCCGGGUUCAGCAUGAACCACUCCUCCGGCUGAGCAACACCGUCAUCAUCGAUUUCGGGUGCGAAAACGCUGAUGUCGGUGCACUCGGCGAUCGUCGAAGCUCGCUGGGCGAUACCCGGCCUCACCUCCUCCAGCUCUGCGUCGGCCUCCAUCCGCCAAGUGCGCAGCUGGUCCAGGCUCAGCCCUGGGUACCAAGCCCGAACGAACUCCAAUGCCCACCCGGCUUCGAGGUGGGCCGUCGACGCCUUCCAAGCCUCAAAGCGACCAACUGCGACCUCCAGCCAGUCGGCAGUUCGGCUUGGGGUGCGGGGAAUCGUCUCGCCGGGCCAGAGGGCGGCCAACACUUGCGCCCCGGCACGUUGGAGCCGGCGAAGCAUCCGAUGAGCCGGCUGCAAACCGCGCCUGGACAGCCAGGAGCUGCUCCUCAAGUGUCCGGUUCGCAUCCGGCGCGAUGUUGGCCCCCGCCUGACGACGCGCCUCGCGAUGGGCCUCAAUGCUUUGGGAGGUGAAGGCGGAGUAGCCGGGGAAGUAGUCUGCACCAAAAACAAGCAACAGCUCAAGAUAAGUCAAAAAACCCAAGCGACAAGGGGCAGGGGAGGGCCGAGGAAGGCAGCUUACCGUCGAUCAAGUCCUCGAUCCGGCCGAAGCUUUCGUCCAGGGCUCGCCGGGUCUCAGACCAGCUCGCCGCCUCGGUCUCAUACUCCACCUUCAAGGCGGCUUCGCUUUCCUGCGCCACCUGCAGGGCCGCUUUGUGGCUAUCCUCUUGGUCGGCCAGCUUCUUGGCUAGGCGAUCCCGUUCCUGGACCAAGGCGGCGCACUCGGCCUCCUUGGUAUGAAGGGCAGCCUUCGCUUCGCCGAGCUCCUUCCUCAAAUCGGCGUUGGCCCCUGAAGACAAAGAAAAAGAAAAACCAAUAAGGAAAGAGUCGUCAAGAAAGAUCCGACCCGACUGCGCAACAGUCGGCCCGAAUCUCGGGGACUACACCCAGUGGGUGUGCUGACGCGCCCCCACAGGAGACAGACAAGAUCGAGUACUUACUUCGGCUGUCGGCCAGGUCGUCGGUCCUCCGGCUCAACUCCCGAGCCUGGGAGUUGAAGGCGGCAGCACGAAGGUUGUGGUAUUCCUGAAAGUUCAGAAAAAAGCAAAGUAAGGUAGCCGUCGAGAAAGAUCCGACCCGACUGCACAGCAGUCGGCCCGAAUCUCAGGGACUACACCCAGUGGGUGCGCUGACGCGCCCCCAUGGAAGAAAUCAAGAAAGCAAAGCAGCCAGGAACGAAGGACUCACCCGGAUAGUGGCUCGCGUUGACAAGAACUCCUGGGUGAACUGUUGCAGCAGGGCGGCCUGAGCUUGCAGCCGGCUCCGGACCCCUUGAGCUGCCACAUUCAGCUCGCCAGUUCCCCCGCUGGGAGUCCACUCGGACGUGGCAGUGCUGGCCGCCUCAGGAUCUUCCGCCGACUGGCCUGCGCCCGCAACUCGGCGCAACUCCGGCGAAGCGACGCCUCCCCCUGCGCGUUGGCCCGUCGCCGGCUGCACCUCGAGGCCGGCUCUGCUCUCCGGCUCACCUCCGGUCGGCCCCUAUGGCGCCGCUGACAAUUGGCCGCUUUGGCCCGCUCCGGUCGGCGCUGCUGGCGGCGCUUUCCUCGCAAAGGCCACGGGGUCCUCCCCCCUCUCCAUCAGCGGCGGGUCUUGAAUGAUCUCCUCCGCCAAGGGCAAUGGGGUGUCGGGGGCUAAGGCUCGGAGAGGAAUGGCGAGCAGCGGGGGAUGGUCACGCGAGCUUUCCGCCUCCGUCUCCGCGGUAGCCGCCUCUGUCUGGGCCUUGGCUGCCGCGUCGACCUGCUCCCUCGCCGCCUGGGCGGCCGCCUUCUCCACCGCCUCGCGCUCCUCCCACGCUUCACGGCGUUCCGCUCUGUGGCCUCCCUGAGAUCGGCGCGGGGGUCCACGCGGCGGGAGCUCAAAGACCCUCCGGCCGGCCCCACGACAGAGCCGCCCGGGCCCCGCUCAAGGGAAAGCGGCGCCCUGUCCGGCAAGCGAGAAAAAGUUAAGAAGAAUAUUCGAAGAGAAAGAGAAUGAUGACGAGCAUGCGGCAAGGUAGUCGAAGACUUACGCUGAGACCGUCGGAGGCUGUUUCACCGCCUUGCGGAAGCGGGCCGCUUUCACAGUCGCCUCGUCUCGCUUGGUCACCGCAGCGGAGGCUUUGGACUUCUUCGGCCGACUGCCAAAGAGGCCUGAAGCGGCCCGGCGCUUCUGUGCGCCGCCGCCGGCCGCCGGCGCGAUAGACGAGCCCGCGCCCUGUUGGUCGGCCGCCGGCUGGCGACGCAGGGCGACUUCGGCUUUGAAAUCGUCCGGCCAGUCCUCGAAGCUCGCGGUGAACCUUGAGCCUUCGGGCUCGACGCUGUCCCCCACCACGGCGUCUUCCAUGGCGGCCGCCCCCAAGUCCGGGUCGUCAACGUCGUCCACCAUGCGGUCGGGGGCAUACUGGCGUUCAAUCCCCGCCGCCCCGGCCGGCGGCGCAAGAAGAGGGUUCUGCUCAAAAGAACCGACUGGUCAGAAGCCGGCCGUCAUGAAGCCGGCCGACGACAAAAAGAAGAUAGAGAGAGAAGCUUACCACGGGCGGAGGAUUGGCGCGAGAAUACGGCACCUUGCCGUAUUGCCAGUCCCCGGCGAGCUUGCAGUUGGCGAUGUAGUUAACCAUGAGCGCCACCUCCGCGUGGGGCAUUUCCCAUGUGCUCAGCCGGCUUGGGUCGAAGCGGCCGCUCAUCUGACACAUCAUAUGGGGCCGGCUUUGGAGAGGAAGGAUCCGGCGCUCCACGAAGGCGGCCACCAAGUCGGCCCCGCGCAGGCCUUCCGACUGAAUCAUCACCCGAAGCCGGGAGAUGGCGGCGUUCCCGGCCGGAGACAGUGACCGGGACCGGAAGCUCCACAAGGGCUGUCUCCCAGCCGGCGGGCCGGCUACGUAAGCCGGCAGGUUGAUGUAGUCUCCUUGCUCGGCGACGUUCUUCACGUAGAAAUACGAUCUCUGCCAGACCUUCACCGACUGGAUCAGGGGGAUGGGCGGGAACGGGUUGUUCUCGCUCGCCCUCCUCAUGGCGAUGAAGGCCCCGCAAGGGGCGGGCACGCCGGCGACGACUGUGCCGAGCUUGCUCUGGAAGAACUCUCCCCAGAGCUCCAGCGUGGGGAGCAGCCCCAAGAAGCCUUCGCAGAGGGAGACGAAGGCCGACAGCAGCAUCACCGCAUUGGGCGUGAGGUGAUGCGGCUGGAGGUUGUAGAAUUCCAGGAAAGAGCGCAGAAAUCCGCUCGCCGGAAGGCCGAAGCCGCGCAGGCAGUGCGAGCGGAAGACGACCCGCUCGCCCUCCUCCGGUGCCGGCGAGAUCUCCUUCUCCGGCGCCAGGCGGACCUGUACGAGGUCGGCGCCGAGCAGGCGCCGAGUCUGGCGGAGGAACUCCACAUGGUCGUCGUGGACGUUGGAGCCGUCCCACGAGCUUGACAACGCCAUGGGAGCGAGGCGGUGUAGAGACGCGGUGGUGCUGAGACGGGAAGCUGCGACGGCAGCGAGAGGAAGAAACGGGGGUUGGGAGGGGCGGAGCGGGAGAGAGCGUGCGUACCUCUGUCGCUCUCCCUCCUCCCCCUACUUAUAGACUCACGUGGCGGAGCCGAGGAGGCGCGGCGUGGGGAAGCGUGGGGAUCGAUCGUGCCCACUCCCCACGUCCCGCAAUUAUUGAGCCUUAACGGCGAAACGAAACUGCCUCGGGAAGGCGAGCGGCCCCUGUGGGCCACGGAAGAUCCGCGCCCGGACCAAGGCUCGCGAGUGGCGGGCCCGGGCCUGCGGCGGCGGCCCGUCGCGCGCGUGCGCUCGCAAGAUCUCGCUGCCACGUGCCCGCGGGGGGGCCCAUAGUCAGCACGCAGGUCCCCCCCUCCUCCCGCCUAAAAGACGCGGGGCUCUCUGAAGUCGGCAUACGCCCGCAAAGCCGGCUCUUCAGGAUGGGAAGCUGACCAAGCUUCUCGUCCCCCUGCUCGCCUCGGAGCUCGAUCAGCUUCGGGGACUACUGUCGGAGUAAAUAGCCAUGGGUAGCCUAGCCGGCUUCCCCUGGCCCUUCUGAAAAAGUUACGAGCCCGCCCGGCUCUCAAGAAUCAAAGAUGUGGGGCCGCCUUCCCCUUGCUGGCUGCCACCCAGGCCGGCUUUCGGAAGGCGGUCCGACUUUAGCCCUCAUGAGAAGGCUGACUCCAAGAAGCCGGCCAUGAGAAGGCCGACUCCAAGAAGCCGGCUCCCCAUAAAGCGGUCCAGACCGUACCCACAAAAGUUUGCACCCACCUAACGGCGGCGCAACGGGGCGUGGCUACAGAAAAGCCUGCCACCCCCGAAUCCCAGAGCACGCCUGGCACAGUGCGCCGUACGGGGUAGGCAUGACCCGUCCGGCGCGGCACUGUCGCCAUGUUGACCCUGGCAUCACCCGCGACGGGCCGCCAGCGUGGCCCACAGAUGGUGGGCCCCUUCGAGCAGAGAGACGCCCGAAAGCGGCCACGCCUCCAACCAUUCGGCCCAAGACAGAGCCGGCUUGCCGCCUCCCUCGAAGAAGACGCCCCAUUAAGGAGACAAGACGCGGUAAGGCUACAGCGAUCGCCUGACAGGCGGCGGUACUGUAGCCGCGCUUGCCACGAUGAAGCUCACGUCAACAAGAUGGAGCCACAGUAACCAGCCGCCGACCAGGCCCUGGACAGUGGGGCCUGCCUGUCGACCAAGGGACCGGCAGCCGGCGGGACCCACCAGUCGGCGGGCCCCAGCAGCCGGCGCAAAAGCCGGCGAGCGCAGUCACAGAUGGCUGGGCCCCGCGUCCAGUCGGAUUACCAUUGUACCCCCCGGGGGUAGGCCUAUAUUAACCCCCCGGAGCACCCAUGCAAAGGGUUCGACCCCUUGCUAGUUCUAGACACCACACAAGGAGAAGAAGCAGGCUAGCAGUGCCCUUCUUCCUCCUCCCCCCAAACAGCUCAAGGAGCGUUGUGUAGCUACUUGAUUCAUCUACUGAACAUGCGGAGACCCCGCGGAGCAGCAGUAGGGGUGUUAUCUCCACGGAGAGCCCCGAAGCUGGGUAAGAUCCGCCGGCGUGCAUGUCUUCGCCUUAUCCCGUUUCUAGGCACCGGCGAUGUCUUACUGGCUCCCACAAUGAUAAGCCACCCGUUGGCAUAUGUCGCACCUACCAUCCGACAACCUGCAUCUGUGGCGUUGGGUGGGAGGACUUCAUCACGUUGAACAAUCUCAGUGAGGGAGUUUUGCUCCAUUUUGUACUCGAUGGACCAGUGCCAAAAUUGCUGAUUUGCAUGGUUGCGCCACCUCCCAACCAGGCUGAUCUAGCGCUUGAGGCUGAUGUGUUCACGGAAGACAUGAAGAAGAAGGCAAGAGAGAGUGCAAAGCUGUAUGAAACUCUACUAUAUUGACCAACGGAUACAUGGGUUGCCAUUUGUGCAUCUUUUUUUGUUCAUUUUCAGUGUGACUAUUCAAUCUUCAGUUUUAUGGUCUCCAGUAUAUUCUUGUUGUGGUCAGUUUUGAACUAUAGAAGAAAGUUCAAGGGACAUAUAGCUAAGCGAGACUCUGGUUUGCAUCCAGCAUCAUGUUUACUUGGCUCCUAUUUUGUUACUUUUUUUAAGCUAUACUGUCACUCCCAUUUAGUCCAUGUCCACACAAAAUGUCAAGGUAUGAAUCAGUAGCGGGUUUGCAAGUGACCCGUUAGGGAGAGGCGCCAACAUGUGUUUGAAGGUAGACGAGGGGGAGGGAGAAUACGACCUGAAACUGAAAUGAAAACAGUCGUUUUUUUGGCUCUACAGUCUGGACUGAAACUACUACAAAGACACGUGUAAAGAACUGUGUGGACAAGAAAAACGACCUAAACCAAAUGGGAAAACAGAUGACUGAAAAUUAGACACUCCCUAUAUAAAUAAUACGACUUUUGGUAAAACUAUGCAAUCACCACCUUUGCCAUCGAAGCUGAGCCUCCCCGCCUGCUGGUGAUGCCUAGUGAAAUAUAGUUAGGGAAAAUCAACUUUUCUUGCAAUAAAAUAUCCAGGAAAACUAAGGGGCACAAUCCUGAAAAUAGAACUGCCAUGUAUACAGUAGAAAAUAUCGACCGCUCCCUACCAAGUAUGUAUAUAUAUCAUUUUUUUUUGAUAACUUUUAAACCGUUAAAAGCUUAGCGAGCUUUAACAAUAGACACAAUUUUACCUAUAUAUAAGGUAAAAGCUUAGCGAGCCUUAACAAAACUGGGGAAAAAAUGAUAUCAUGAACGGCUGUCGCUGGAUACAGUUGCAGUCAAAUCGACAUGAGGAUCCUGCAGCAUCUUGAGCAUGACCCCUGCGUUCACGCUCCCAACUUGAUUGAAGUAGUCGUCGAACAGGCUGUGUAACGAGGGCUUCCCGAACCACUGCUCAUACCCAGGCACCUGCAUCCUGCAUGCUCAAGACCACUAUCAGUCACUUCAGCACACACAUAGAGAACAUAUCUAUAUGCAAUUCAUAGAUUAGUUUCCUUUUUGAACUAAUUCAUAGAUCAAACUUUUUGUUAUUUAACUUAAUAUCCAUAUAUAGACUUAAAGCAUUCCUUCUAGUUCAGAUCGACGGACCAUCGACACAUGGAUACAACUAGUCAAACAUGAAUAUGAAAUUCUUAACCCGGCUGAUGUUGGUAGCGAGUCCUGUCCUGUCACUCAUGGAUGGAGCAUAUAGGAUCAAUCAAUCAAAACACGGUCAGUGUGGUGUGUCGGCAUCGUCAUUAGUCCUAUUGGAGAGGAUAGGAUCUGCCCAACAGUGAGGUUUUUGACGGGAGAGACUAUGAGUGACCGAGGGGAGACGGGAGGGGGCAGGCACCUGGUGCGGGCGGCGUUGGGAGGGGGCUCGAUGAGGGGCGGCACCUCCACCCUAGGCUCCGGCGGCGGCGCCGGCGGCCACUCCCGCGCCGGCUUGCUCCGGGAAAUCCCCAUCGCUCUCUCCUAUGUCCCGAUUGCUCGUCUCCUCCCUCUCCGGUUGCACAGAUCCGCUGACGCUCGCCGCCGAUCGAAAAUCGCAGCCCGAUCCGAACCCCAGGUUGGUACUCUCCUUCGGGCUUUUAUGUCUCCUGCCUCCUCGUUUCUUUUCUUGCCAAACAAGCACAAGACUCUUCUUCUAAGCCUACGGACGUGGGGCGAUCGACCAUUACGUGCCGUCCGAGCCGGGGACUGAGAUUUGUAUUCGGCCGUCCUGAGUCCUGACCUCCAUGUCCAUGGAAGUGGAACCACGGCUAAGGGCAGACUCUCUCUGAAUGUCUCAACACUUGUUCCGGCCUCUUUCUUCAGAAAUCGCAGUGUCUCUGCGACCCUAAAAACAGAGGGAAAACCCCACCCUACUCUCUACAGUAUUUUUUUAGCGGUAAACCUCAGUUUAUUAAGGAGUUCAGUUUACAGGAAUGAUAAACGGGUCAUGGGGUAUUGCCCAGCCACAAAUGGCCACCCUCUACUAAAGAAGACAAAAAUUUAGCUAAAGCUAUGAGCCUCAGAAUUUGAAGUAUUUGUGACAAAAUCCUUUGUUACUAGCAGCCGGGGCCGCCACACCUCCCCAUCCUCCCCCCGCCGCCGCUAGAGGAAGCCGCCCGGGCUUCGCUACGGGGUUCCAUGGGCGCGGGGGCGCUUCCCUAGAUUUGGGUCGCCGGCGGCCUGUCGUGGCUAUCGUUCUGGGCGGCACGUGAGACGGUGGUGUCGGGCACGCGCGUGAUGGUGUUGUGGCUCGUGCGUGGCUCCGGUUGGCUGCGGGCAUGUGGAGGCGGGACCGGAGGGUGUUCGGUGAAGUUUGACAGGGCCUGGAGGUGGUGACGAGAUAUGUGCUGUUGGAGGGUAGGGACUGGCCUGUUGCGGCUGCCCUGGCGGCCUGAGUUGUCGGCUACCUUGGGCGUCACCGUCUGGAUCUGAAUGAUUAGAUCUGAUGGGCGUGUUUGUUUCUCCCGAUGGCGUUCUCCCGCAGUUGGUCGGCGAUGUUACCUGACCCUUGGCCAUCUCCUGCAUUUGUCGAGUUGGGAUCCGUGGGUGGUUGGGAGUGGCAUCCACACGCUAUCAUGACAGUGUAGGGGUGUUGGCAGGGUUGCUGGUCCAUGGUGGAUGAAUGAUGGCCAGGGCGCAUAGGUAUUGGGGGCUGACUUGGUCUGUGUUGUCACAAGCUUUCAUGUUAUGGUCCACUUGCUUGCUACAUGUAGCGUCGGUCGGUGUUGCGCUCUCUAGGCACUAUUGUGUCAUCCGACGGAUCGGUGCUAAGGACCACGAAUUUGGAGGCUCUCAAGGGUGUUUGGCGGCGGUAGUCGGUGGUCAUUUGGUUGUAUCCUCCCCGGUCCACUGGAACCGGCUGGGGACACGGGUGUGGGCACUUCCUAUGGUGGGGGCGCCAACCCAGGCUGAAUGACUGAUGUCAGACUAGGAGUGAAAGAAGACGCCUUUCGCUUCUACUCCCAUGGUUAGGUGGUCUUGAUGUGGAUGGUUGGCGGUGCCUAGGGGCCUGGAUGCUCGAGCGGUAGUCUUGGAUGGUGAGCUCCAUGUUUGUUUUUUCUUGCAGGCCCCAUGAUGGUGGUGGUGACUUCACCUGUUGGUCGUGUGGAUGGAAAGGGGUGUAGUGGUGGGAGACUCUGGCUCUGGUAGCGCCCAGAUAUGGUGUGGCUGGGCCGCCCCUCGUUGCGGUGAUGAUAGGGAACCAUCCCGUACGUGGUAUAGGUGAGUUUUUGAGCGAAAGCUUUGCGUUCUGGGUGCCGGCGACGAUGGAGCCCAUGGGUGCCGCUUGCUACGUUGUCAUGGGUCUUGUCCUUGUGUCAGGGCUCCGGGUGAAAACUCUAAUCUGUUUGUUUGGAGUCGGCAACGGCGACCCUUCACACCGUCAUCCACUUGGGGGUAUUGUCAUGGAGCUCAGGAGUCUUCAGUCGAGCCUCAGCUAAGUGUUAGGCUUGCUUUAGGUUCAUGUUUCUCUUCUGAACUACCUUGUAAGAGGGUCUUCCCAUCAUAUUGAUUCGUUCGGCCGUGUACUUUGUUCUGAUGUUGCUUUAUAAAUAAAGUGGGGCGAAAGCCUGUUUGGGGAGCAAUGCAAAAACAAUAAGAUGGUUUUUUUUCUAGUAUAAAUCACGAAUUGCAGAUCGUUUCCAAUCAUACUUUUCCCCUGUUUUGUUCUCCAUUGGUAAUGAGAGGUGGGAAAAAAGCAAGAAGCGGUGCAUGAGAUUGACGGAUCAUACGUUUUCCCUUUUUCACAAUGGACUUUUGCUUAGUGUGGCAGAGUGCAAAGUUUUUCCUACUAUUUUUGUAUUUCAUUAAUUUUCAAAUUGGUGUCUCUUUUGUUGUUACCGUCAGCUUGUUAAGGUAUACAAGGUUGUGCUUCAAAGCAGUGCAUGAGAUUGACGGACCUUGCUCGUGUGCUAGUGUGGUGGGGAGGCAGAUCGAGGAACAAGAACGGAUGCUGAUAUAGGGCAGGUCCUCAUGAAAUGGAGGAGAAGAUUCAGAUCUCAGUACUGAAGGCCUUUUUCUCUUCCUGCUAGAACGGGAGUUGCAUCCUUUGCAACAUAAAGCUACAGCUCUAACAUUAGUUACAUUACCACGAGCUCAUUUCAUUCCCAAACAGACACUCUUCUCGCUUCAACUCAACUCCAAAACUAUACUCUGACCGUGGAUGGGAGAGGGCAAGAAAAUAGCGACACAACCAUGCAUGUACUUUCUGCACAUCAGCAGGAGUUGGUUUCAACAGAACCAAGACCAUGAAUAGCUUGUUUAUAAAUCACAAGGUUCCAAGAUAAUACAAAACUUGAGCAAACUACAAACGUGAGAAAUAAUAAAAGUUAGGACAAAGCACGAAAUUUGUAAGGACGUCUCCAUCUAAAGGGAUCAGCUAGAUCCAAAUCAUGGACACCAUAAUCCAAAACAUACUGAUGAACGGAACCUGGUGUAAUAUGAAUCCGAGCACCUCUUGAGGCCUUCUUAUCCAGCUGAAGCUUUUUACGUUGUUGUCUAAAAAACUUCACUUUGUAAUCACUUGGAUCAACCUCCAGAGUUAUUAACUCUAGCAUUCCCGCGUUUAGUAAGAAGAAUGUGGCAAAGUCAACAUCUGACUUCAUACCCGAAUAAUAUCGCCAAACAAUAGUCUUCAGCCGCAUGUCAAGAGAAUUUAUAGUAUUCCGGUGUUUACGUCGCCACAAUUUUUUUAUCCCGGGCCCCCUUGACUAGGAAGAACAUAAUCAAACCAAAAACAGGCAGUUAAGAACAAUAAGCAAAUUAAUUAGAACUGAACACUAUGAACCAUUAAGAAAGAAUUGUCACCUCAAUGUACAACCUUUCCAAGAAAGGAAAGCACCUCAUCAGGUCAAUAACAGAAUCCAAACUAAGAGAAUGCGUAUCAACACAUAAAAUCUUGACACUGCGCACCGUCUUCGUCAGGCUAUCAACACGCAAUCCCUUGAUGAAGCAUGGGGAUGACGUUAGACCAGGUAUAAGUACAAGUGAAAUGCCGAUAUAAAUGCCUGUGAAGGGAAGUAGGGAUGACAUGCAUGGCUACCUGAAUAAUUGCUGAGGAGUCGAAUUUGAGUGUGGUACUACGAUGAUAAGAAGUAAGGCAGCCUAAGGUCUCCAGUUUGGGCGCAAAGAUUACCGAUAUACGCAGGUCAACAGUUGAACCAAGUUGAAGCAACAUAAGAAGAGGGGCAAUCUUGAUAAUGAGCUGUUCAAAUCGGAGAGUUGUAUGGCGCGCAAGAGAUUUCACAUAUAUGCUUCUAAGGCUGAUGGAGUUGAUCCGGACACAACGGAAGCCAGAGCUGCAGGAAAUCAUCAAGCACUCCAGUGCAGGGCAGCCAUCAAACAUGGCUUGCAGCGAGGAUUCAGAGAUGUUGACCCGCUUAAGCCCGAGCUUCUUAAGCAUAGGAAAGCGAAGCGCUUGGGCGGUGCUGUCGGGGAUGUGGCACUCUCUGAAUAUGGCGACACAAAGGGUCUCGGAGAAGCGGAAGGCAGCUGCCGGCGGGGGCAACGUUGGAGGUGGCAACCUGUAGUCGUUGCUGCUGCAGAGCUCAAGCUCCUGGAGGUUAUCGAGGGCGGAGGACUGGAGCCAAGCGUCGACCGUGGCAGCUCGGUCGCCGUGGAGGUGGUAGACAGGCGCGCAAAAGCGGCGGACGGGCCCGUUGUGGACGGAGAGGAUGUGCGACAUGACGGCGUCGAGGUCAUCCUGGUUGUUGCAGAGCCUGUGGUGAUUGAGGUUGAGAGGGACGGAGCGCCAGAGGUGGCGCCACCGGUGGGCGAGGAUCUACGUGCGGGCGCCUUCCUUGGUGGGGAGCAGCGAUAUGAUCUCCCCGACGAGUUCGUCGGGGAGGUUGCUGAUGCAGUCGGCGCGGGUACGGCGCUGGCGUUUCUUCCUCGUCGAAGCAGGACCUCCCGGCGCCUCCAUCGCCAAGAUCGGGGAUGCGCGUAGGGAGGAGGGGACGGCGGCGGUUUGAACAUUGGAAAAAAACGAAUCCCAAGCGAGAGAUCGAUGUUUUUUUUUAGCAUCAGUACAGACACAAGCGCUCAUAUACACGCGCAUACACUCAUCCCUAUGAACGCACACACGCACACCCUACCCCUAUGAGCACCUCCAAGAGACUGAGCCGGCACACCAGGAUUUGAACCCUGAUGGGUUGGGAAUACCACUGUCCAUCUAACCAUCUCAACCAUAGGUUGAUUCGCGCGAGAGAUCGAUGUUAGUAAUAUAAAUCCCGACGUUUUUUCACGGGAGACGAGGUAUGUGGCGUUGGGCUGGGGAUCUCUUUUCUGUUCCCAGGCCAAACAAUCGAUCGUGAACGCGCAGGCGUACGUACGGCCUCGACUAUCCGCCUUGACCCAACUCCAGUACGUACGUACUUCGUGCACUGCAUGUGCGCAUUAGUGAUGGACUCGCUCGUACGUGUACGCGCGUGGGUGGUGAAGGAAUCGAUCGCGGGCGCGUACAUGCGUCUUGUGCGCCGUCCGUUGGUUCUUUUGGUUCUUUGGCGGACGUAAAUUUGCAAUCUUUUUUCAGGGAGGAUCUUUUUUGAGCUGGCCAGCAAUUGCUGGUUUUCAUUAGCUUGGCAGAAGAGAGCGACAAAGGUGUUUGAUCAAGUGAUCUGUGGAAUGGAGAGAAACAAAGAAGAACAGAAGGUUUUUCAGGGAAGACCAUCGGUGGCAGUGGCGGAUGAUCCUUUCGUCGCAAAACGCAAAACGGCCAAACCCAGACUCGCUCUCAACUGUGUUGUAAUCAAGCGAGGGCGAAGGCGCUAGACACCUACGGUAGUGCAUGCACCCAAUAGUUGUUGUCCUUGACCGCCGGCGCCGCGAUGAGCAGGCCUAUUUUAAUUUAUGGAUGUCCCGACGAGGUCCGCUCAAGUCAGGUGAGGUCCUCCCUCCUCACGGGGGCGAGCGGGGAUCAUGAUAGCGAUUUCCAACCUGUACCUACAUCGCGUAGGCUGUGAUCCGGCGCCGGGGUAUGCAUGACUAGCGGUGGACGGCGAGUGUAUUAGAGUGUGGCGGCGGUGGUGGAGGAUGCGAGCGGAGGGAAAUGGGGGACGGCUGCCGGUGUCCGGCUUAAAUAGGACUUAUAGGGCCCUCCGGUGGCGUGGCAGCACGCGGCGUCCUCACCGUUCUCAUCGGAGACGCAUCGGACCGGCGUGUUUCGGUAGGGAAACAUGCGGCCAGUCCGACGUGACAGACGUAUCCGGAUCUCUUCGCAUCCGUCCCAGAUAUGGGCUAGACAUGAGGGGAGUGUUGGUCAAUUCAGACGUGUAGGGCCGGUAUGAGGAGUCGUUUUUCCGAUUGGUCAGGGACCGAGCGUAUGGGAGGGGUUUGUACUGGCGAGUGACAUGGCCUCUUUGACUUGCACGCCGAUUGUCCGUCCGUGUGCGUGGGUCGUUCAGGCCUCUCGUUCCAACACGGCGUAUGAAAAGAAAGAACAAAAAAGAAAGAAAGAAAGAAGUCCCACGAAAAAAAUAGGAAAGAGGAGAGCACGAGACGGGAAGAUGUCAGGUGAUACUAUGUGUUAGGUGAUACCAUGAUACGGGCUUCUAGGAGCCGUUGGAUCUCAGAUCCGACGGCUCCCCGGAGUUCUUGAGCAUUUUGCAAAAAAGUCAUCCGAGAGUCUCAAAAUUUCACGUAGGUACAAUAGACUUCUGGGAGCCGUCGGAUCUGAGAUCCAACGGCCCAGAAGCCCGUAUCAUGGUCAAGGUUUUGGAUUCCGAAUGGACCAUUUUUCUCGAGGGGGGGGGGGCGGUAAACUCGGUUACCACGGUAACCACGAAAUUUCGGAAAAAUUUCGAGCGGAAUUUAAAAUCAAAAUUUGAAUUCAAAUUUUUUAAGACAAGAAUACAUAAAACUUGAGCACAUAAAAUAGUUGACACUAGUGCUAGCGCACUGGCUAGAGGUGUGCUCGAAUGCGCUGCACAUGCAGGUCGCGAGUUCGACCCUUGCACGCCCAUAUUUUUUAGAAAUUACAGCUUCUAAAAACUAAAAUGAAAAGGUGCAGUUGGCAGUGCUCGGACACAAGACCCACAGGUGUUGGUUGAAGAUCCCUACCACUGCGCCGCAAGUAUGCUUGUGUUCUAGCAAGAGAUAUACCUUAUUUAACAAGCAGAUAGAAGUUUAAAUUCAAAAAGUUCAAAAAGUUCGAAAUUUUAUGCUCGCUAUACAUGAUUCUCGUGGGGGAGCGGGAAACACGGUAACCGGGCGGUAACCGAAUUUACCGCCCGGUACCCAAAACCAUGAUCAUGGUAUCACCUAAGUGUUGGUAGCACCUGAUAUUUUCCCAGCACGAGACGAGGUUGUAUGCCUUCUUUAAUCUACGCAUGACGACGAUCAUGCGCCAUCUUGAAAUGAUGCCGCCCUGCCUUGCUCUUGUUGAAUAUGGUGCCGUUGCUUUGGUAGCAUCACGUACAGCACCCAGGGCAUCAGUUUGAUCAGAGCUGUACUUCAACACCGGGCUGGAAACAAAAAAGGAACUCCUUGCUUCCAAGAUGAGGCCCCUUUUUUCUGGUUCUGGCUGAAGUGAUAGACCCGCGCUCCAAGUAGUUGAUGUAAACCGGAGAUAUCACACAACAACCUGAUUUUGCGAGUUGCGACUAUAUUCCACNNNNNNNNNNNNNNNNNNNNNNNNNNNNNNNNNNNNNNNNNNNNNNNNNNNNNNNNNNNNNNNNNNNNNNNNNNNNNNNNNNNNNNNNNNNNNNNNNNNNNNNNNNNNNNNNNNNNNNNNNNNNNNNNNNNNNNNNNNNNNNNNNNNNNNNNNNNNNNNNNNNNNNNNNNNNNNNNNNNNNNNNNNNNNNNNNNNNNNNNNNNNNNNNNNNNNNNNNNNNNNNNNNNNNNNNNNNNNNNNNNNNNNNNNNNNNNNNNNNNNNNNNNNNNNNNNNNNNNNNNNNNNNNNNNNNNNNNNNNNNNNNNNNNNNNNNNNNNNNNNNNNNNNNNNNNNNNNNNNNNUAUGGCUGAUAUCUGAUAAGACCUUGUUUAAACCAACUGAAUGACCAUACAAAUACCUUGAUCUGAGAAGGCCCUAGCAAGUUGGAUGGCUUCAUAAAAUGAAUUGACUGGCAGACAUCACAUUUGAUGCCUAGAAGCCACACAGAUCUGUAUUUUUUCAUCAAAUAGGUGCAAAAAAGGUGGCAUGCACAAGAUGGUUACAAAUACAACAGAACUAAAAUCACGAAUAGCACAUGUAAAAACUGCCGUAAGGUUCCAAAAUAAUGCAAACUUAAAUAAGUUACAAAGGUGACAACAAAUAAAAGCUAGGACAAAGUAUGAAAUUGGUAAGGAUGCCUCCUUACAAAAGGAUCAACUAGAUCCAAAUCAUGGACACCAAAAUCCUUAAUGCUGUGAUGAGACCGAUCCGGUGUAAAAUGAAGACAAGCACCUCCCGAGGCCUUGUUAUCCAGCUGAAGCAUCUUACCUUGUUGCGUAAAAAACUCCUCAUUGUAAUCUUGUGGAUUAACCUGAAGAGUCAUUAACUCUAGCAUUCUCGCGUUUAGUAAAAAGAAUGUGGCGAAGUUGACAUGUGACUUGAUGCCCUCAUAAUAUUGCCAAACAAUUGUCUUCAGACAAAUGUCAAGAGAUCUUAUAAGAGUUUGAUGCUUACGACCCCACGAGUUGGUUUUCCCUGAUCCUAUUGACUGAAAAGAGCAUAGACAAUUAAUAAACACAAUGAGGACAUUAAGUAGAUCAAAUGAGCACUGAACCAUGAUAGAAGAAUUGUCACCUCAAUGUACAGCUUUUCCAAGCAUGGAAAGCAUCUCAUCAAGUUAAUAACAACAUCCAAACUAAGAGCAGGCAUGUCAAUUGCUAAAAUCUUAACAGUGCACACUGUUUUCAUCAGGCUAUGAACACACAAUCCCUUCAUGAAGCAUGGAAGACGAUAUUAGACCAUCUAUAAGUCCCGAUAUUAUGGAAUUCAUCUGAUGCACACAAAAAUGCAGAUGAGAAAGCCCAUGAAGGCUGCAGCUACCUGAAUAACUGUCAAUUCGAACACGAGUGUGGUAUUACAAUUAGAAUAAAGGCAGCCUAAAGUCCUCAGUUUAGGCGCGGAGAUUACCGAUGUAUGCAGGGACUCAUGGAAACCAGCCUGGAGCAAGUUUUCAAGACAAGGGGCAUUCUCAAUGAUGAGUUCCCCAAAUUUGAGCUCUUUUUGAUAAUUAUAAGCUCUCACACCUACGCCUCUAAGACUAAUCGAGUUGAUUCGGAGACAAUGGAAGCUAGAGCAAUUCUGAAUCAGCAAAACACUCCAGAGUGCAGCAAGAAGCAAUCAUGGUGUGCAGUGAGGAUUCGGAGAUGGUGACCCGCUCCAGCGNNNNNNNNNNNNNNNNNNNNNNNNNNNNNNNNNNNNNNNNNNNNNNNNNNNNNNNNNNNNNNNNNNNNNNNNNNNNNNNNNNNNNNNNNNNNNNNNNNNNNNNNNNNNNNNNNNNNNNNNNNNNNNNNNNNNNNNNNNNNNNNNNNNNNNNNNNNNNNNNNNNNNNNNNNNNNNNNNNNNNNNNNNNNNNNNNNNNNNNNNNNNNNNNNNNNNNNNNNNNNNNGGCGGCGGUUGUGGCUUCGCUGGUGGAUACAGCAAUCUGUUGUUGGAGCUGCACAGCUCAAGCUCAUGGAGGUUGUCAAGGCCUCAAGGGCCGGGGACCGGAGCCAGGUGUCCGCGGUGGUGGCUCGAUCGCCCAAGAGGUGGUAGACGGGUGCGGAGAAGCGGCGGCCGGGGCCGGGUGGGUGGCGAGGACGCGCGACACAACGGAGUUGAGGUCGUCCGGGUGGUCGCAGAGCGAGCGAUGAUCGAGGUUGAGCGGGGCUGAGCGCCAGAGAUGGCGCCACCGGGAGGAGAGGACCUGGGUGCAGGCGCCUUCCCUGGUGGGGAGGAGCGAGACGAUGUCCCCGAGGACGCCGUCGGGGAGGCCGCUGAGGUGGUCAUCCGCCGUAGAUUCCGAGGCGUCCCCUUCUGAAGUCGCCGCCGCGACCGCCGUUUCCAUCUCCAUCGCACGCGGCCUGAGCGAGACGGCGUCGGGAAGGUCGCUGAUGCGGUUACCGCCGGCGCCUCCUCCGUCCCCAUCCGCUAUGGGAAGAGCAGGUUCUGGACAGGGCGCCUCUGUAGCUGGGGUAGCCGGUGCUUUCCUCUUCUUCGAUCUAUGAUCAGGAGCGCCUGCCUCCAUCCCCAUGGCUGGCGGUUUGUGCGGCGGCGAUGGAAGAGCACGCUGAGAAGAAGUAGGCGAUGGGUAUCCUUGUGUGUAUCUAGGUUAUUUUGUAGGGGUGCACGUGCAUAUGUGGGCGCGUUGCGAGCCACACGAGUACGUAUGUAACAAGAUGAAAUCAAAGGCCACGACAAAGCCCUGGUCUGCCAAACAAUUGCUGCUGCUUGUUCUGAUGAAAAAAAACAAUUACUGCUGAUCAUUCUAAAAAAAAAUCAACUGUUCUUUUUUUCUUUACAAGCAUCUCCAACAUGCGCGCGAAAUAUCCGGCGCGCUGGAUAAACCGCCAGUUUGGGGCGCGAGAGGCUGCGCGGCGCACUUUAGCAGGCGCGCGCGGAGAAAAAGCGGCAACGCGCGCAGUAGUUUUGGUGCGCGACACCCAGCGCGCUGGUUAAAAGCCACGUGCAUGUGCCCGCCAACCGCCACGAUUUCCCUCCCGCUGUGCCUUCUUUCUCGCCUCUUCCAGCGCCCCGCCGCCGCCACGUCUUCUCCCCCCACCUCUUCCAGCACCCCGCCAUGCCUCGGUGGCUCGAUGUGUUUACGUCGUCGGACUACACCACCGAGGAGGAAGAGGAAUAAUUUUACUAUUUUUAUUUAGCAUCGUAUGAACUUGCUUGUGGUUUGGGGCUUGAACUAUGCUAUGAAUUUGAACUAUGUGUUGUUUCAGAUUUUAUUUCCAAGCCCCGGUUGGUCACGCACGCUGGAUUUUACAGCGCCUAGUGAAGCACUAUAGUGGCACGCUAAAUUUUGCAGUGCCCAGUAAAGCAACCACCCUCCCGCGCACGCUAAAACGCUAUUUCGGCACUGCAAAAAAAAUUAUGUGUCGUGCUACCGCGUGCCUGUUGGAGAUGCUCUUAUUCCUCUAGCAAAACUGUGGCAUCGUUUACAGGUAAUGGAAGCACCUCAUCAGGUGCCGAAUCCAUCCAUUAAGGAGGAGAAAAUUUAACUAGCCUUCAUGUGCUACUUUAUUACACUCUCUAUUACAAUGACCAUAAGAUAAAUGAUUAAAAUCUGAGGACAAGAAAUAGCAAUCAUCAAUAAUUGCGCUUGCCACCGAAGAAGAAUUGCCAUCUCUCAGAGCUUCUGCUACCUCCAGAUUGUCUGGAUUGAUCAUGACCUUGUUACAGCCCACAGUCUGGCAAGGUUUAGCCCAAACCUAACUGCCAAUGCUUCUGCUGUGAAAGAAUCAUAGCAUAUGUCUAUUCUUUUAUUAGCUGCUGCUAUAAAUUUCCCAUUGUGAUCACGAAUAAUUUCCCCCACGGAUCCUUCAAGUAAAUCUUGGCCAAAUCCAGCAUCUACGUUUAAUUUCAUGUAUCCCAGCGGCGGUUUUUGCCAAGCUUCUAUACGAACUUUGGCCUUUGGUGAGCAAGCAAUACUAGAAUUUGCAGCAAGUCCACGUAUAGCUAGAGCAAUCUGCAUGGGGUUCUGAAUAUCUUCUUCAUGAUAGAUUUUUCGGUGCUCAAAUUUAAGAUACCACGCGGUGGUAGCUACUACUUCUCUCAAUUUCGGAAGCCCCAAAAUAUGGACUUCUGUUUCUUCAAGUUUAACAGAUCCUGCACUACUUCCUCAUCAGUUUUAUACUUUGUGCAUCUCUUCUUUACUAUAUCAUACAUCCCCAAUUGUCUCCAAACUUCUAUUGAUCUCGGGCACUCAAAGAGGAAAUGUCGAAUACUAUCUAGACCUCCGUUACAUUCUGGACAAUGAACCUUCGCCCUCAUAUGCUUCGAAGCUAGGAUCGCCCGGCACAGGAUUGCACUGUGGAGGACCCGCCAUAUAAAAAUUCUGAUCUUGGCUGGGCAUUCUAGACACCAAAUCAAGUUCCACUUCUCAUCCAGUACUGAAGAUCCCGUAUUUGUAUGAAUCAUAUAUAUGACCAAAUUGAAAAUUCCAUUCAACUUGGUAAGCUGAGCGUACUGAAAAAAAUCAACUGUUCUUAAUGGUUAAUCACUGUCGUCAUUAGGGUCCAUCGACCGAUAUGGUGCUUUGCGUUAUGCUCAAAUCAACUACGUAUGUUUUACGCAAAUCAUGCCACUAGCAAGGUGUAUUAUUUUCUUGAUUGAAGAUGGUACGGCCGGAGCUCUGCUUACUCUGGGAGUUUAGCCAGGUUUAGCUUCAUGCUUAAAGUUUUUGCUUCACCAACGUCACUCAAAUACUCGAGGCUGCCUGGUUGUUUGCGUCGUAUGGUAUAAUAUAUACAGAGAGAGAGCAAUCUAGUGUCAGGUUCGAGGAGCUAGCCCUCACUAACGUCAGUCAAAUACUCGAGGCUGCCUGCUUGUUUGCGUCGUAUGGUAUAUAAAAUGUUGAUUUUCAGGGGGGUCGAGCACUGAACUAGGACAAACUGACAAACAAAUUAUACAGCCUAUCCCGUGGCCGAUCAAAACAGUUCAACAUCAGGGACAUUAACGCUGGAAAAGAAAAUAAUCCAUUACCUUCCGAGACGAAGCCCCGCGGAUAUGUAGAUCCACACUGCAAGUAGUUGGUGCAAAACUGGAGAAACCACGAUAAUAUCUUGACCUGGGGAGGUGUUUGAUACACCAGGUGAAGUGAUACCGACAUUCACUUCCUGUAGCAUAACUAGCAUCAGCACAAGGAACAGGUCAGGAGGCUGCCCUGCGUUUGCAGCUCUCAACAACUUCAGCCAGCGUGCCUCUCUACACGCUGGUAUCAUCACUCUGCUGCUGACGAAAUAUACAUUUACCUUCCAAAAAACAAUGUCAGCACAUCGGCCAACACCAAGCUUGAUCAGAGCAGUUCAACACCAGGCUGGAAAGAAAAAAGAACUCCUUGCUUGCUUCCAAGACGAGGCCCCAUAUUUUUUGUUUCGGCUGAAGUGAUAGAUCCCCGCUACAAAUAGUCGAUGUGAACUAAACAGAUCACAUAUGUUCCACAUAACCUUGCCUCUGAGUAAGGAGGGAAACAUAUGAGUGAUACCUUGAUGAGAAAGAGACCAAGUUGCAUGACUUUACAAUAAGAUUUAACAGACAAACAUCACAUUGAUGCUCAGAGGACACACAGAUUUGUAUUUUCUCAUCACCAAAUAGGAGCACAAGUUGGUUUUUCAUCAGAAUUGACAUCAUGAAUAGCAUGUUUAACUGCCAUAAGGCUCCAAAAUAAUACAAACUUGAACAAACUACACACAUGAGAACUACUAGCAGUCAGCACAAAGCACAAAAUUGGUAUUUUCCUUAGAAGACCAAUCCGAUGUAAAACGGAAUCGAGCGCCUCUCGAGGCCCUGUUAUCCACCUGAAGCAUCUUACUGUGUUGUGCAAAGAACUCCUCAUUGUAAUCUUCAAAUUAACCUCAAAAGCACAAAAUUGGUAUUUUCCUUAGAAGGGCACGUCCUUUCAAAGGGAUCAGCUGGUUCCAAAUCGUGGACACUGGACUCCAAAAUGUGGUUAUAAGACCAAUCCGAUGUAAAACGGAAUCGAGCGCCUCUCGAGGCCCUGUUAUCCACCUGAAGCAUCUUACUGUGUUGUGCAAAGAACUCCUCAUUGUAAUCUUCAAAUUAACCUCAAAAGUCAUCAAUUCCAGCACUCCAGCGUUUAGUACAAAGAAUGUGGCGAAGUCAACAUGUGACUUGAUGCCCCGAUAAUGUCGCCAAACAAUUGUCUUGAGACGGAUGUCAAGAGAUCUUAUAAGAUCCCGGUGUUUACGGCGCCAGCAGUUGCUUUUCCCGGGUCCAGUUGACUAAAAUUGAACAUAGACAAAUAAAAAACCAAUCAUUUCAGGACAGUAAGAUAGACCAAAUAAGCAUGGAACCAUCAUCACAGAAGAAUUGUCACCUGAAUGUAUAGCUUUUCCAAGGAAGGAAAGCAUCUCAUCAAGUCAAGAACAACAUCGAGACUAAGAGCAUGCAUAUCAACAGCUAAAAUCUUGAUAGUGCGCACCGCUGUCGUCAGGCUAUCAACAUGCAACCCCUUCAUCAAGCAUGAAAGAUAACAUUAAGACAUCCAAUUAGUCGGAAGUGGAGAUAGUAUGUUCUUCAUCAGCACAUGGAAAUGCAGGUAAGAAUGCUAGUAGGAAGGCCACAACUACCUGAAUAACUGCCGAGUCAAACGCGAGUACGCUACUACAAGUAGAAGAAAGGAAGCCUAAGGCCUCCAGUUUAGGCGCAUAGAUCAACGAUACAUGUAGGCGAUCACUUAAGAUCAAGCUACCAAGAAAAGGGGCAUUCUCAAUAAUGAGUUCCCCAAAUUUGAGCCCUCUCCCAUAACUAUAAGCUUUGACACAUAUGCCUCUAAGGUUAAUAGAGUUGAUUCGGAGGCGACCAAAGCCAAAGCUGCGGUAAAUAAGCAAGCAUUGCAGAGCUGGGCAACCCGCAAUCAUGGUGUGCAGCGAGGAUUCGGAGAUGCCGACCCGUUUAAGCGCGAGCUUCUGAAGCUUAGGGAAGUGAAGCGGUUGGAUGGUGCUGUCGGUAUGGUGGCAAUCUCCGAUGGUGGCAACACAAAGGGUGUCCGAGAAGCGGAAGGCGGCUGCGGUGUUUGCGGUGGAGACGGCAACAUAAAUCGGUAGCAGCAAAGCUCGAGCUCAUGGAGGUUGUCGAGGGCGGGGGAUCUGAGCCAGGCGUCGGCUCGGUCGACGGGGAGGUGGUAGACGGGCGCGCAGAAGCGGCGGCCGGGGCCCCGGUGGGCGGCGAGAACGCGCGAUAUGGUGGCAUUGAGGCCCUCCUGGACGAACAGGAACGGACGGUAGUCAAGGUUGAGAGGGGCGGAGCGCCAGAGGUGGCGCCACCGGGAGGCAAGGACCUGGGUGCGGGCGCCUUCCCGGGUGGGGAGGAGCGAGAUGAUGUGCCCGAGCAUGCCGUCGGGGAGGCCGCUGAGGCGGUCCUCGUCGGGAAGCGGCGGUUGCUGGUCCUCCGCCGUAGAAUCCAAGCCGUGCCAAUCUGCAGUCGCCGAAGCCGCCGCCUCCUUUUCCAUCCCCAUCGCCGACGGCCUGAGAGAGACGAUGUCCACGAGUACGGCGCCGGGGAGGUCGGUGGUGCGGUCGCCGCCGGCGCCGUCGCCUCCUCCGUCCUCAUCCAUUCCGGGAAGGGGCGCUCCCGGGCCCUCCACUUCUAUAUCCGCGGGCACCAGCGCUUUCCUCUUCCUGGAGCUAGGACCAGGAGGAGCGCCUGCCUCCGUCCCCAUGGCUAGCGGACUGUGCGGCGGGGAUGGGAAGAGCACGCCGAGGAGGAGGGAGGCGGGGUUGGGGUUGGGUUGACGGCCCGUCGCCGGAGCCGACAGGAGCAGAGGAGAUGGGCGGGAGCUCCUACUGGACGCUCUUUGCGUCAAAUUGUUGACGCAACGCACAGGGAGGCAGCCCGACUGGGCCGGCCCAACGAGCUGUACCGCAUGAGAAAAAAGGGAAGCAAAAAAAUGAGCUAGGCGCGAUCCCAGGAAUCGUACUGGCGACCAAACGAUUGCGAGUUGCGACCGCAUGCUCCUUGCCAUUCCACCUGACUAGCGUUUUAUGUAUUUUGACAUUGCGUAACUAAACGAACUUAGGACGCCCGUACAACAAGCCAAAUCUACUUCGAACACAAUUUUUUUUUCAAAAACAAAACGGGAAUGUUAUAUCAAACGCGAACAUUAUUAGUUCUAUUUACAAAUUUUGAGAAACCUCAAACAUUUUUCAACACACAAACGGAUUUUCGAGAUGCGAACAUAUUAUUUAGAACAGAAACAUUUUUUAAACUACCCAAAAAACUGAACGGGAAAAAGUUUCAAAUUUCAAACACAAAAUUUGGAAACACGAACAAAUUUUGCACGUGAACAUUUGAUGAAAGCCCAGAACAAAAUUAGAAAAAAACGAACAUUUCUUAAAAUUAGCAAAAAAAAUGGAAACGGAACAUUUUCCGAAACUCCGAAAAAACUUGUAAAUAUGAACAUUUUUGAAAUUUCCGAACAAAUUUUGGAACGGGAACAUUUUUUCAAACUCCCAAACAAAUUUAUGGAAUUUACGAUUUUUUUUGCAAUUUGUGAACAAAAUUUGAAAACAUGAACAUUUUAUAAAUUUGUGAACAAAUUUGGAAAGCUGGAACACUUUUUGAAAUUCCUAAACAUUUUUCAAAUGCAAUUUUUUUGAAAACAUGGACAAUUUUUAAAUAGGAACAUUUAGUGAAACUCAGAAACAAAAAUUGGAAAAACUAACAUUUUUCUUAAAUUUGCGAACAAAUUUUUACGAAGUUGUGAAAUUUAAAAAAAACAAAAAGAAAAGAAACAGAGAACAAACUUUGAAGCGUGAACAAAUUUUUAAUGCAUGAACAUUUUUUGAAUCUUGAGAACAAAUUUUGAAACGGAGAGCAAUUUUUGAAAAACCUAACAAAGUUGCAGGUGUCAACUUUUUUAAUAAGUGAACAAAAAAUUAAAAUCCGGUACAUUUUCUGAAUUUCGAAAGUUUUGAAUUUACAUGUGUAAUGAGAACAUUUUUUCGAAAGCUGAACUUUUUUUGGGAACAUAAACAAAACUUGAAUAUUUUGAAAAAAGUUUGGAAAUAAGAGAAGAAAAGAAAAAUAAAUAAAAUAGAAAAGAAAGAAAAUUUGUUGAAAAGGGAAAAUUAACUUGAAAAGGAAAACUGAAAGAAGAAACAUAGAACAAAAAAAGGAAAAAGAAAAAAAGAAAAGGGAAAAAAGAAAUAGAAACAGAAAAACAAAAAAGAACCAAUAAAAAACGAAAAAACCGGUUCAGGGAACCUCCUAGAAGGUUCCCAAAACCGGUGGUAACCGCGACUGGGCCGGCCCAAAUCUUCCUGGGGUGUGCGGAGCCUCGUCAAUUCGCCGCAAAAUGCGGCGAAUAGGGUUUUCCGAGAUGGGCGGCGGCGGUAUUGGGGGAAAAGGCGCCUGGCGGAUCACACAACGACGACGUAGCAGAAUGAAUCAAAGCCCACUCAUGGCGUAGGCCGGUCGGCCCAGUCUGCUUGCUGAAGCCUUCUUUUUUUGCUCAAAAAAAUAUGCUGAUGUUUUUUUUUAACUCGAGGCAUGCUCCUCUCCUGCUGAUGUUAAUCACUUCCAUUAGCGUCCAUCGAUCGACACAGUGCUCUGGCAAAAUAUACUUCCGUAUAUUUAAUACUACCUCCGUCUUGGUGAAUAAGUCAUUCGCGUAGUUCUAGGUUGACGAUUUAACUAUCUAAAUAUGUAUUAUAUGUGACAAAAAAUACAUAUUUAGAAACUACAUCAUUAUAGAAAUCUAGUGAUAUACUUUUCAUGACAUAUAACACAUAUUUAAUUUCUUAAAUCAAUGACCUAGAACCACGCAAAUGACUUAUUCACCUAGACGGAGGUAGCACUAUUUAUAGUAUUUUCUUGUUGUAGAAAAUACUAUUUUCUUUUUAAUGACCAUGCCAAUGUCAAAAAAUGGGAUUUAUUUUUUCCUUUAGAAAAUGAUACGGCGCUCUGCCUACUGAGGGAGUUUAGCUUCUUGGUGUGAGUUUCUGCUUCGCUAGUGUCAAUGAAACACACCAGGCUGCUUGCUUGCUUGUUUGCAAUCAAGUGUCGCGGGUUCGUUCUGAAUUUGUGACACCAGGGCAUUGGCCUAGGUACGGUAGCUGAUACACCAUGUACUGUUCCUUUGUCUAUUCACACACACAAAAAAAGUAUUGUUCCUUUGUUUCUGUCAAGGUAUGGAACAGUAUACAGUUGGCACAGUCUGUACUCUUUUAUUUAUGUCUGUCUGUCUGUCUGUCUCCAUCUUUUUUGUGAAUAGGUAACUCUGUGCUCAACAAAGUCUGUUUGAAAAAUAAUAAAUAAUCAUGCAUGGCACCUGGGGAUCAGUUUCCCAAACUUGGUUGGUUGCUUGGAGGCGCCAUAGAAACGUACACAACACCGUGAUGAUCCCAUGCAUUGCACAGAAGCCAGAAACCACAGAGCCUCCGCUGCCUGUGGCUUCACAGCAAGCGUACGUCGUCAAUGUUGAUCUUCGUUCAGGGGAACAUCGCUUGGGGGCGACCACUGAACCAGGACAAAUGCCGGGAAGAUCGACUCACUAUGUUGUUUGUUGACACGACCAGUUCACCAGCGUUCGAUGUUGGUGUUCCCGACAGACCAGAUGCUCCACAGCAAAUUGAUUCACUAACAAGGGCAUCAUGCUUGCGAUAAUUGAAUCCAGUAACAAGUUUACAGUGUUCCAUCUUUAGAAUAUUUAUGUCGGCACCCAGCAAAUUGACAAAAAAAUUAUAAAGUCAAGGGGUUCUGACAGCGAAUGAAAUAGGAAAGAAACCUGCUUGGCCAGCAGUUCGGUGGCGCAACAAAUUAUAUAGUCAGGACUCCUGACCCUGAAACUGUGACACAUAUGGAGGUUGGCUAUCUUAAGUCUUACUUAUUUUUUCCUACCGCGCACCUGCAAUAACAUCACCAACUAAGUUCAGUCUGAAAACAUGUUGAUACUGAACCAGAAGUUGGCUCUGAACUCUCAUGUUGGACCUAACACAUGAAAAUGUUACAGAGGGGAGAGCGGCCAGAUGAUAUCCAGGUAACAAGAGGACUCUGUAACCAUAUUGUUUUGCGAUAUAGGGUAUCAUGAUGAGCCUCCAAACGCUGAUCAACCACCGUAUGGCACCCCAAGCCCAAGGUUUACACUCGAAACUCCUACCUAACAAAAACAAAUCACAGUAUUAUUUGCCUCUUUUUAGAAUGUGUGCAUGGUAACCACUGGCACCAUCUGAUGAUGAAUAGACUUUUUGAGUAGCUCCUCAGGCUUGCUUGAGAAGUGGGAACUAUGGUUGUCUCACAUUCAUGUUACCCUUUUUUUUGACCCCCUGACCGUAGAACAAUAGUUCUACGGUAUAUUUUUGUUAAAAAAAUUAUGUACAAUGAAACAUUCUAAAAGGCCUUAGCCAAUGCCAGCGGGUUCUAACAUCAUAAUAAAUCACAAAUUAUUAUCUAACCAGUGCUGAAUCUUGUUUACCUUGGAGGCCUUAGCUCUCAGCAUGAGCACCUUGAGUCCUUCUCGCAUGCAAUAUUUCCAGCACAUAGGGUGAGCCACUGCCUGUUUGAAAAUCUUGUCAUUUCUCACGGACCAAAUGCUCCAGCAGCCAGCAAUGAUGAUAUCGACGCCAAACUCUUUUGGGAGGACUGACAGGGCCAGACAAAAUUCAUCAAAAUUGGAAAUGCCUCUUCUCUUAGCAGGCAUAAUUAUGUUCCAACGGUGGGUGGAAAAAGAGCAGUCCCAGAACAAGUGAAGUGAGGUUUCUUCUGUCUUAUCAUUACACAAUGCAUAGUCAAAUGAGCUCAGAACCAUUGAUUUUCUUUUCAAAAGGUUCCUGGUGUUGACCCUGUCAUGUAGAAGUAACCAGAAGAAGAUUUUGUGCCUGAGUAAGUUUGAUGCUUUCCAGAGGAUUUUGAAGAGGAAGUGAGCAUUGCUUUGUCCCAUCAAACAUUUGUACAUCUUGAUAGAUGAGUAUUCUGGUGUUGUCCAUUUGUACGUCCAGCUAUCCUUGUGUUCAACAGAAGGGUGGUUGUGCAGCAGAUCUUGCAUCUCCAUGAACGGUUGGUGGGCAGCAGCGGAUAAUGGUCUGUGAAAGAGAUCUUCUCUGUUGUCUAAUUGAAGCACCUGUUGCAACAUUAUAUCCACCUGAAUGGCAAAGGAGUAAAGCUCUGGGUAUUUCAGAUGAAGUUGCAUCUCCUGCCAAGGGUCCUUCCAUAGCCUAAUUUGUAUCUCCAAUGCCUGCCUUGCAGUUAGAGAACUGUUGAAAUGUUGGGAGCAGUUUCAUGAUAUCUUUCCACCCAAAGGAACCAAUUUGCUGGACCACUGUCAUUGGAAUGGCAAGAAUGCUCAUAUAGAAGAUAGGCAUACUUGCAAAAACCGAUUUGAUGAGUACCAGCUUAUCACCAUAUGGGAGCAGUGUAGAACAGCCUUGCAAUCUUGUCUCAAUUCUCUUGAUUAGAGGGAAAAAAAAUCCACCACCCUUGGCUUCUGGAUGCUCAGAGGCAUUCCUAGAUAUGGAAGUGGAAAUGAGCCAAUCUGACAACCCAUUAAAACUGACAAAGCCUGCAUUUUGUCCUCUGGAGUGUUGAUUCCAAUCAUGGUUAAUUUGGCAUGAUUCACUUUCAGACCCGUGUAUGUUGCAAAGUGAAGCAACAUGUUCUUAAUGUGCAUUAGCUGGCUAGGGAUAGCAGGGAGUACCAGAACAGUGUCAUCUGCAUAUUGAAUGAUUGGAAAGUCUGGGCAAGUGGCAUGCUUGAUGGGGACUCAAUGAGAGCAUUGUUCAUAGCUUCAUUCAUCAUGGACUGCAGAAGGUCAACAGCUAUCACAAAUAUUAAUGGAGAUAGUGGGUCACCUUGCCUCACUCCACUCUUGCAAAGGAAUUGUUUGCUAGGAACUCCAUUGAGUCAAACAGAGGAGAAACCAGUGCUAUAUAUUUACUUGAUCCAGUUGAUCCAUUUCUGUCCAAAACCUUUUGCUUCCAUAAUCUCAAUGAUGGUGUCAUGAUUAAGUAGGUCAAAAGCUUUCUCAAAAUCCAGUUUGAGUAGAAUUAUCUCCUUCUUUGAUUGAUGACAUUGAUGUAAAUACUCAUAAGCCCAAGCCAGGCAAUCCUGAAUACUUCUGUUGUUGAGGAAGCCAUAUUGAUUCUUAUGUAUCAAUCUCAAGAUAACUUUUUGUAAUCUGUUGGCCAACAGUUUAGUGAUAAUCUUUAGGGUACAGUUGAGCAGUGAGAUGUGUCUGAAUUCACCUGGGGUGGCAGCAGAGCUAUUUUUGGGAAUCAAAGUGAUGUAAGAAUAGUUGAUGCUCUGAAUAUGUGUUUUACCCUCAUGAAAAUCUUGGAUGAGGGAGUAGAAGUCAGGUGCCACAAUAUCCCAGCAAGCUUUGAGACCAGUCAGGUGCUACAAUACUCCCUCAUUUUAAUUUGUUGGUCAGCAUUAAAACCAUCUGGUCCUGGAGCUUUGUCAUUGGGCAUUUCUUUGAUGAUGUUAUCAAUUUCCUCAUGUGUGAAAGGAGCUUCUAGGUCUUGUAGCAACUGAUCUUGUUGGAGCAAAGUAUGCAACAGAAGAGGAUUGCUGGUUUGUUUAUUUGUUCCCAAUCUUUCCUUGAAAGCACUGUACAGAAUAGCAGCUUUGGAUUGAUGGUCCUUGUGUUCAACACCAUUGGAGUCCUUGAGCAUAGCAAUACUGUUAUUCCUCAUCUUAAUAGUUGCUUUGGCUUGAAAGUAUUUAGUAUUUGCUUCACCCACCUUGAUGGCUCUAAAUAGUAGCUCUUUGUUUUCAAUAAAUUUUCUGGAAUUUAAGCACUCUAGUAGGGUGAUCUUUAAGGCAGUUUCUGCCUUCAGAUUCUUCUCUUGAUAAUGGUCAUGGGAGAAACAAGGCCAAGAAAAUUCCGGCUGGGAUCGGAAAGCUCACCCAAGUGAAUCCACAUCAGGAGUUUAAUUGAUGGCACCCGCCACACCAUGGGAUCAAACGACAGCUCUGACCACGGUGAUCUGAUGCUGACGGCAGAGCCGGCUACGGGCUCCAAAGCUCAAGUGGACGAUGAUGCCGCCUCGCCGGAGCAGCAAGCCCAAAAACGCAUUCACGAUGGUGGCGGCGUGAUCAAACAUGACUUAAUUACAAGUAGCUAGCACUCCACGUCUCCACAACUCUUCCGAAAAUUUUAACCCAAAAAUUCAAGCUUCGAGAUUGACUGGCAUAUUUUACUAUGCCCUAAUACAUACAUCUCCUUAUGUAUGUCGAAUAAAAUCGAGAGUGGAUUUUUUGCUCUCGGGCUCCAUGGAUCCUGAAAUUUUCAAAAAAUCAAAAAUCAACCUUUUGGAUUUCAGAAAAAACUGAAAAUAAAUACAAAAAUACUUGCAGAUGGGUGUGAAGUUUCACCAUAAAAAAACAUUUUGACGUGACCCGCACAAAAAACAGAAAUCAUGUACAACGCACGGGCACCACCUUCAAUUGACCUCUGGAAUCCCUAUUUAAUUAGCCCCACCUUGUAUCGUUUCGUGUUCAUCCGUUUGAUUGGCGCAUCUAGGUGUGGCUCCUGUGCAAAUCUUAGGCCCUGUUUGGUUCAUAAGUUUUAGGACUUUUUUUAGUCCUAACUUAUAAGUCCCAAGUCCCUAAAAAGUCUCUACUUGUUUGGUUCCUGGGACUUAUAAGACCCUAUAAGACCAUAUUACAACUAUAAGUCAUAUAAGACUCUCCUUGAGAGUCUUAUUUCAUAAGUCCCAAAUGCCCACUUUAAGUCCCUAUAAGUCCCUCCUGUUUGGUUUAGAUGGGACUUAUAGGGACUUUUUUAAGUCCCUAAACCAAUAAGUCCCUGGAAACAAACACCCUUUAAUUCUCUUUCCUUCCAUAUUUCUCCGUCACGUCGCACUUCUUUUGAAAUCUAGCCCAUGCAUCACUUAUUUAAUUAGCGGUCUCUCUUCUAGUUUAGUCUUCACUUAUUGAUCCUGAGACAGUUAUUUGUAUCUAGAAACUCAAAUCUAUAAUACCUAAAUAAUUCAUCCCCACUAACAUAUUUUUCUUGACAUGCACACGUAUUCUUUGUUCUUCUUUAUGUUUAGAGAUGUGGUGACAACUCCCGCUCCCACUCUUUGGUAAGAGAACAUUAGCUGCUUAACAUCAAUUUCUAUUUUUUAGGGCAUGGCAACCUGCAACUUUGUAAACAUAGUAGACCAGAGUGGAAACCUGAUCAUCUUUUUGUGCCUGGGCCGCUUUUGCUCAAUGGCGUCACUAUUGGAAACGUAGCUGCUCUUACUAGAUUUGCUUCUCCUUUUUUGAUGUGAUCGGAGGAUCUAUGCACUCUGCAUAGUCUCAUCUCCUUCCUCAUCUAUGUCAGAUCCUGCUUUUGUUUGAUUGAUCGUGCAUGCUUGAUUUCUGGAUUUCUUAAGGAUGCUGAUGCGUGUAAAUCGUUGGGCGUUGGCUACAUGGUUUCACCUGCCACAUCUGAGGCCUUCUAUUAGAUUCAUAGAUCAGCCGACAACAUAUACUGAGAAAAAGAGCCUGAGACAUUUGUAAGUGGGUUGAAAUUCAAUAAUGAUUCUCUCUGUUUUCACAAGGAAAUAUGAUUGAAAAUACACAGUAUGAUUUCUUAUUGAAUACAGAUUUAUCCUUUCUUCUAAUGUUUGUACUUUUUCCCCAUGAAGUGUUCAUUUCAGGUCAUGUUCCCUUCAACACUACUUGGAACUGAUGAAAACUAGACAAUGAUGAAGACCAUAAGUGUUACUGAAUAUGUAAAUGAUGAAGCAGGUAACUUACAUAUUUUUUGUUUGAACCUAACACUUGAUUGUAACGAGUCAUCUUUUUUGUUUGAAUGCCGAAAUUUGGUUGUAUGUAGUUAAGCAGUUCGUUAACAUUUGAAGUAGGAGCUUCACUUCCUUUCAGAUUUUAUACUCAUUAUACAAUUCAGAGUCUACAUCCAAAUCUUCUUGCAUGUAUUUGUAUUUCAGAUAAUUUUCAUUUUUUUUAAUUCAGGUUAUACACUGCUACAGUACUAUUCUUUUACCUUUUUAAAGGAAUAUGGCAAUUCAUUUGCAUCGUGCAAUUGGGUAGUUUUUGCACAAUUUUUUUCAAUGAUUGGUGCAGCAAUAGGGUUCAUACAAAUGCACAUCUAUAAUACAUAAAUAGUUCAUCCCCACUAACAUAUUUCUCUUGACAUGCAGCCUAUCCACAUCAGCAAAUUUUUUUAAAAUAUUUUCCAGUAAAGAAAAUAUAUUGUGCUUUAACACCUCUUUUAAGUUUGCACAUUUGAGAAUUAAUUUUGAGCUUAUGUUCUAUUAUGUUUUUCCGUCAAGUGUUGUGAUUGCCUUCAAAGCAGAAUCUUCUUAUUUGCAAACCUUGAAGGCAUGCACUGUUGACUGAAAUGUUAUUUAUAUUACUCCCAUCCUUCCUUUGUUACACACCAAUACAAGAAAUGUAUUGAGAACAUUUUGAUUCUCUUCUUUUUGGUCCCAUUUAUAAUUAUAUUUCCUUAUUUGUUCCCAUUGCAAUGUACUGAUGAUGGAAUGGCCAACUCGAAUUUUUUAGUUUUGUUUGAUGUUGCAUUGAAGCGAAUAGUAUGUUACUUGGGGCUCUUUUUCUGUGGAUUCAUGUACUAAUGUGAAUCAAAACCCAUGACCAAAAUUGACACUUCGAAUGAAAUAUAAUAUCCCACAUCAACAUGUAGGGCACCAUGAGCCCUCCAUAUCACCAAUUGUGCCACUUCGUAAACUAUUUUGUAGCACAUGCACACCUCAAAAGUGUUCCAUCUUCAAUGGUCCAGCAUACAUUCAUACUCUUUAUGCACCCACAAUUGCUGCUGAAAAAAAUUAGCUUUUGAUUUAGGUCAUUUCAUUCAUAGAAAAUUUAUUCAAAAUUAAUCUUUAUAAUCCCGCAGCAACGCGUGGGGAAAUCACCUAGUAGUAUGUAUAUAAAUUGGCACAAAUGAAUGUAAUGGAAUAAGAUGAGAUUAUUUAAUAAGAUGAAUCAAUCUUUUCUCCAACACACAAUAACAUCUACUUUUAUUGAAACUUUCUAUUUUGCAUUUGAAAAUUCUGAUUUUCUCGGUUGCGAUUAUCAAGUUUCAGAGAUGAAACUUUAAGCGAUUCUUUUUGUCGGUCGUUUAUCAGUCGCGUGGACCAAGUUUCAAGAGUUGUAACUUAAUACUCCCUCCAUUCCCUUAUACAAGGCCACAAUGAGAAAUACAAUAUGCAUCUAUACAAGGCCACUAACUAUAAUCGAGGUAAAAAUUAAUAAUGUUUUCUCGUACUACCAAUUGUUCUAAUAUUUGCAUGCAUGUAGUCAUAAUGACACGGUGCUACUUCCUUCUAAUUCCUUCUUUGCAUGUAUGUGGGCGUAUUAAUGAUUCCAGUUAACAAAAAGAAAAGUGAACUUGCACAGCAGUCAUUGAAUUUUGCCUUGGUACUUGUAAUUUGAGUUUGUGGCCUUGUAUAAGGGAAUGGAGGGAGUAUAUUUUUUCCAAAUUCAUCAAAACAUAAUGGAUCUUAUUUGAAACCCUUGUCAUGAGAAACACGAAUAUGAAAACAAAACUUAAUUUGGAAUUUUUAUUCAAAAGAUAUGAAAGUUUGAAAAUCAAAAGAAAAAGAAAAAAAAACAC